This 492-nucleotide ribosomal RNA is filed under the name uncultured bacterium. RNAcentral describes it as "partial 16S ribosomal RNA". It matches the Rfam family "Bacterial small subunit ribosomal RNA", at positions 29 to 507 of the family's 1533-position model. The record is from RNAcentral.
AGUGAACGCUGGCGGUAGGCCUAACACAUGCAAGUCGAACGGCAGCACAGUAAGAGCUUGCUCUUACGGGUGGCGAGUGGCGGACGGGUGAGGAAUACAUCGGAAUCUACUUUUUCGUGGGUGAUAACGUAGGGAAACUUACGCUAAUACCGCAUACGACCUACGGGUGAAAGCAGGGGAUCCUCGGACCUUGCGCGAUUGAAUGAGCCGAUGUCGGAUUAGCUAGUUGGCGGGGUAAAGGCCCACCAAGGCGACGAUCCGUAGCUGGUCUGAGAGGAUGAUCAGCCACACUGGAACUGAGACACGGUCCAGACUCCUACGGGAGGCAGCAGUGGGGAAUAUUGGACAAUGGGCGCAAGCCUGAUCCAGCCAUACCGCGUGGGUGAAGAAGGCCUUCGGGUUGUAAAGCCCUUUUGUUGGGAAAGAAAAGCAGCAGGUUAAUACCCCGCUGUUCUGACGGUACCCAAAGAAUAAGCACCGGCUAACUUCGUG